UGGGGAAUAUUGCACAAUGGGGGAAACCCUGAUGCAGCGACGCCGCGUGAGUGAAGAAGUAUUUCGGUAUGUAAAGCUCUGUCAGCAGGGAAGAAAAUGACGGUACCUGACCAAGAAGCCCGGCUAACUACGUGCC
RNAcentral lists this ribosomal RNA (136 nucleotides) under uncultured bacterium. Its description in RNAcentral is "partial 16S ribosomal RNA". It matches the Rfam family "Bacterial small subunit ribosomal RNA", at positions 355 to 509 of the family's 1533-position model. The record is from RNAcentral.